GGACCCGCACAAGCGGUGGAGCAUGUGGUUUAAUUCGAAGCUACGCGCAGAACCUUACCAACACUUGACAUGUCUGUCGCGGAAUUCAGAGAUGAAUUCUUUCGGUUCGGCCGGACAGAACACAGGUGCUGCAUGGCUGUCGUCAGCUCGUGUCGUGAGAUGUUGGGUUAAGUCCCGCAACGAGCGCAACCCACGUCUUUAGUUGCCAGCAUUUAGUUGGGCACUCUAGAGAGACCGCCGGUGAUAAACCGGAGGAAGGUGUGGAUGACGUCAAGUCAUCAUGCCCCUUACAUCCUGGGCUACACACGUACUACAAUGCUACGGACAAAGGGCAGCAAGUUCGCGAGGACAAGCAAAUCCCAUAAACCGUGGCUCAGUUCAGAUCGUAGGCUGCAACUCGCCUACGUGAAGGAGGAAUCGCUAGUAAUCG
Molecule: ribosomal RNA, 430 nt
Filed under: uncultured bacterium
Lineage: Bacteria
Description: bacterial SSU rRNA
Rfam family: Bacterial small subunit ribosomal RNA
Source: RNAcentral